GAUUUCAUUUUAUUCCUUUCCAGGGGCUUUCACAGCUUUUUAUGGCUGUUGGAUUUCUCUGUCCCCAAACUUGUAGCAAGUUUGGUGAAGGCCCUUUUUUUUAAAAUCUGUUUUUAGUAACGUAUUAUGUUGUAUUGUGGUUGUAUUUGACUUUAAAGCAAAGUGCUAUUUGCUGGAUAUGGGAGCUUAAUGUUGGAGAAAUUACUUACUGUUCCCAUAUAUCUAAAUUUUAAUUAUUUAUAAAUUUUUCCCAUUGUAAACAGUUUUCUAGUGUACACAGACUGAGAAGCUGAUGGGGUCAAUGGCUUAUCGAGAGAUAUUACACUUUCAAAUUUGUCUAGCUUUUUAUCUUUCAUUUCCUUGUAUCUGGCAAGUGGGACGUUGCUUGGGGUGCACUGAUCUUUGAACUGUGAGGUCAGAGUGAUGUUAUAUGUCAUAACUUAAACUCUUAUCUCUAAAUAUUUUAUACAAAGUACAACAGUAGAAAGUUUGUUACUUAAAUUGCGUUAGUUUCGAAUAUCCAACCCAGCCAAUGAAGUAGAACUGAGAUUGAAACUCUUCCUGUCAUUUGCUGCAAAUUUGUUGCCAAAAGUGUUUGAAGAAUACCCUUUAGAUAGCCCUCAGUUUCUGUUCUGAUCAGAUGUUUCUUGUGCUCAAUAGUCUAUGGGCAGUUUCAAUUAUUGCUGCUCCUCUUAGUUGAAUUACAUUUUGCAUUUCACAGCUGAUUAUUUUUAAAACAUUGUGAUGCUCGUGUACGUGGCAGCAUGCGCAUGUUUAGAUUCACACUUGUGUGAUCCUGAGCAUUUAACACUUUGAAUUUCCCAUCUAGAAGAAAUACUGAACCAGGAAACAAUUAAAAUUGCAGCUAGGCUGGUUAAAACUCUAUCCUGAAAGAGAGCCAUCGCAUGCAGAGGUACAAGAAUACCUCAUCUUCCACCCCACCUCAAAAGUGAUUAAUCUAGAGUUAGUUGAGUUCUUUAAAACCAAGAGAUUUUGGACACUGAAGGAAUAACAGAAUAAAGACAGGAUUUUGCAUUUGAAAUAAAUAGUGUUGCCUGAUAAAAAUGGUGUGACUGGCCAAUGACACCUUCCUUUCUGUGUACACUUAAUCAAGCUGACUUUGACUCUGAUGUCUUUGCUGUAGCAUUUGUCGUGCUGCUUCUCCUGAUCAGCUUCCAGAAGACCAUUUUUUCAAAUGCAGCAGUCAACUUUAGACAAGUAAAUUGAGACUGCGCAUUCUUGCAGUACAGAAGGAAUCCAUUUGACCUGUGAUUCCCAUGUUGGUUGUUUGAGAGAGCAGUCCAGUUUCAUCGUUCACCUAGAUUUUUUUCCUCCGUAAAGCCUGCAUAUUUGUUCUUGAAGUACAUGUUCAGUUUUCUUUUUAUGGAAUCCAGAUUCUAUUAUCCUGUGAUAUCAGAAAUGUUAUACCCUAAAUAAUUUCUUAUUUCUCUUCUGAUUCUUUGGCUAAUUAUUUUAAACAUGUGACCCCUGGUUGCUAUCUGAUUUGCCAAAGGGAAGUUUUUAUUGCUCUUUGUUCCAUCAAAAUGCUUCUAUUUUGAGGACCUGCUCUUAACCUCAUUUGGUCUGAACCAUCCCAGUUUCUGUAAUCAUCCACACAACUAAAGUCCUAUGUUCUUAGUAAACCUGUGUACUCUUUCAGAUGAUUCCCAGAAUUACAUCUAAUACUCUAUAGAGGUUAAGUUAGUGACUUGUAAAAUGUAAAUUAUUUGUUCUUGUAUUUAGCCCCCUUAGUUGUAAGGACAGUUGUCUGAUUAGAUUUUUGAUGUCUUAUGGCUUGCCCUGCCACCUUCUACAGAUUUGUAAGACCCUCAGCAAAAUAGUGUUGUUUAGAUCAUAGUGCUUCUAUUUUUUUUGCCAAAGUAUGUCACUUUUAUGUUUCAAAAUUAUAUUUUGGCAUUGUACGUAUUUCACACGUCUGCCCUCCAAAAGUCUGUGGCUACUCUUAAAUUCUUUGUGUAAAUUUCAAAAUUGCUCUGUCUUGCCAAAUACAGAUCAUUGUUUUUAUAUGUAUAUCGCAAAAAUGAGUUGUUCUACCUCUGAUCCCUGGAAAAUAUAUACUAUAUGUACACAACAGUUCCCCAGAAUUUAAACAAGAAAAGUGUAAAUAAAGUGAGUGUGGUCUUGACGAAGUCUGGGAGCUAUUAAUGGCUAACAGGAAGAUGGCGGAAGGUUGAACAGGUAUUUUGUGUCUUUGUUGUAGAAUGCUUGGGAAAACUUCCCAAAGACACUUGGAAAAAUCAAGGAGUGAAAGGCAGAGAGGAACUUAAAACAACCGCCAUCAACAGGGCACAGGUACUUGGAAAGCCAUUAGACCUAAAGGACUGACUAGUCCACGGGAUUUGAUCUGUAUUCUGGGGCCUUAAAGGAAUUGGCUGUAAUAAAGAUAGUAGAUAUACAGGUAAUUACCUUGAAAAAAUAACGUAGAUUCUGCAGAAUCCCAGCAUAUUAGAAAAUAGUGAAUGUGACACCUUUAUUCAAGAGAGCGAGAAAAUGAAAGUGAACUGUGAGCUAGUCAACCCAGCAUCUUGCAUGCGGAGCUUGCUAGAAUGCAUUAUUAAGGAGGUUAAAGCAAUACUUAGAAAAUUUUGAUGAUCAGGCAGAGUUAACAUCCUUUUUGAAAAGGAAAUGUUUUAAGUAAUUCAUUCUUUCUUAGAGAAAGUAACACAUGUGGUGGAUUACGCAAACCUGUCCAUGUUACAUACUUGGAUAUUCAGAAGACGUUUAAUAAGAUGUUGCACAAAUUGAGCUCCCAGUUUAGCAGAUAAUAUUCUAGCAUGGAUAAUGCAUUGUUUAGCUAAAUGUAAAAAAGUAUGGAUAAAUAGGUCUCUUUGGAUUUUCAUCCUGUAAUUGAGUGUCUCAAGGAUCAGUGAUGGGACUUGAAUUAUUUGCAGUCUGUACCACUGAUUUGAAUGAAGAAACUGACUGGUAGCUAUGUUUACCUACAAAACUAAUAGUUAGAAAUGAGGACCGAGGACAUAAGAGAAACAUAAGUCUGCAAAUGGGUUCAGGUUUUGUGGUUCAAAAUUUGACAGUGGAAGUACAAACUUUUCCUAGGUCCCUGUUAUUCUGAAAAAUAUCAGAUACUUAAGUGUUGCUGUUUAAUUCUCGGUCACCGUGUAGCCAUGUCUCCAUAAUGGCCAUCAGUCGUACAUUUUUAAUCUGUGUUUAUUCAUCUAUUUUAAGAAAGCUGCGUCCAUUCAGAUAUAGAACCAUCAACACACACUUCACUUUUUUUUGGGCAAACUCUAGCCUCGUUUACAAUUGCAGUGUUGUAUUUACAUAAGUUCUGUCUCUUCCUGCCGCACCCAAAUUAGCUAGCACUGUUUGGCUUGUUUAGCAAGGCUAUUUAAUUAACUUUUAAGUUCUGCAUCAGACCUGAGCCUUUGUCUAAAUUUAACUUGAACAAACUUAACAAAAACUGUGAAACAAAUUUUGAGGUACUCUCAUUAUCUAUAUCUCUCACGAAAGUAUUCUCUGCAUGUGUCCUCUUGCACUUUGUUUGCUCCGAAAGGUAUAACUGAAUUAGAAGCAGUUCAGAGAAGGCUGCUUGGCUCAUGCCUGAGAUGAAGGCUUCAUCUUAUUAAGGAACGGUGAACAGUUAACUAUAACAGCAGCGUUCCGUCACUUGCUUUUUAACGUGUAGGAAAGGAAAUGCCAAGAGCUCUGGCAGUACAGGUUAGUUUAAUCUGUAAGUAUCUGUUGUCUCUAAACAGUGUGAAUAUUAGUGGUGGAAGUUUUCCUUCAAAAAGCACAUUCGGAACUAAUGUCUAUAAUCACUUUUUUAAGAAAAGUGAUCGACAGUAAAACCUUUUAUUGAGUGAUCAUACACGGCUUCAAGACAACACUUGCUAUAAGCGAAUCAGUAAGAUUCGUAAAAGAUUAGAGCUUUGUGCUGGAUAUUCAUUUUUAUGGCUAUUUCUGAAUUUUUGUUGAUUUCUAAGUAUGUACCUGAUAUAAAUAAGGAUAAGAUCAAACAUUAGCUAAAAUUUUGAAGACUUGUUGGGCAAAUGCACUGGACGGGGCUUUGAACCACAAUAUAAAGAUCCCAAAGUUGCUUGUUCAUCUGCUGAAUUUAUUGAGCAGGAUUUUCCAGAAAGUCUGUGUGUAUGUGUGUGGUCUUCAGGCCUAGGUGGGGUCUGUCUUAACUGCAAAGCCUUCCACACCUAAUAAUCAAUUAAUGGCCAUUGCCUAACCUCCAGAAAGAAUGAAUACCAGUGUCCAAGAAACUACCCUGCAAGAGUUGGUACCUUCAGGAAGAAGGGGGCAAAUGAAAAAGAUUGAAACAAAAUAUAAUUGCCUACUUUUGUAGAACCCACCCCCAGCCCACCUGCAGCGCAGUACAGACCAAUCUACUUUGCUAUCUCAGCAACACAACCUUCUACUGCAUCUCUCUACAGUCUUUUCAGUUGAUGGAAUUGUGUGCAGUUGUUGUACAGGCCUUUAUUCAAUCAGUGGAGAUCGUGACAAGAAAUCCGCAAGUAGGGCACCCAUGUUGCAAAAUCAAAGUGAAAUGGACUGGAGCACUGCCGUGUCAGUGUGUUCCUGAAAAUGGUGCGACUCGCGUUGCAGAAAAUCUAAGCUUCUUUAUCAUGUGCAGUCGCUGGCUGUGACUAAACCGAGCAGCAGUUCUGGUGAUUAUCCAAGAACUGUUUUAAGAAUGGUAAAUCGGCAAUAAACAUUCAAUUAGUGGCUCAAACUUGUUGGCUAUUUUGUUUUGAAACUUCUAUCACCCUGUUGUUACACAAAAGUUGCAUCAACUUCCAAGGGCAAAUGUGGAAUAUGAUAAGCUACGUUAAAAUGUAUUCUUAUUUUAGCAGUCUCUGAAGUCAUCAAAAUAUAAAGUGCCUGAAAUUGGAGGCAGUAUCCUUUUCUUUAGUGACAAACAUUCCCUUUACUUUCCCCUCCUGCCUGUUAUCAAAGUAUGAUGUGUUCCCACAAAAUGGCAGAGAUGAUCCAAGUUGAUGAACAUUUGGGCAAUAUUUCUAUGGCCUCUUUCAGUGUGACAUUUAAUAUAGGUUUUACUGUCGGCUAAAUAGAACUGUACCAUCCAGUUGACGCAAUCUGCAUUUUAAAUAAUUGACUUUAAUCUUAUAAAGUAAUGUACUGAUCUAUCAAUCAAUUUUGAUAAAUUUUAGGAAUUUUUUGGAAUUAAAGUUUUGGUAUACCCAGAUUUGAAAUGGAUGUACCACUACAAUACCUCCAUGUCACAAUAACCAAUCUGUUAUGCAACCAUUUUGUUAUUUGGGUGUAACACAUGCAAGUUUUUAUUUUCUUUCCUGUAAUAUUGCUCGGAAGACCUUUGUCUUAUCGAUGUGCCUCUUUUAUUGAUAUCUGAAUAAUUGUGAAAAGUGGUGGGUGGGGUGAGGCAAAACACAAUUGAAUUGACAACAUGCAGAAGAAAAGCCAUUCCAAAUGGAGAACUGAUGUUAGCAUUCAUUUGUGAAGGGAUUUGAACAACGUCUUUUCAAUCAGUGAAUUUCUUCGAAGACCAAAUCAAGACUUCCAGAUAUCCAGGCUCUAUUUACUGUGGGUACAUAUGAGAAUAGUUUUCAGAAAAUUGAUCAAAUUAAUUGCAUCCAGUAUUAAACGGAAUGUGGGCACUUUAAUCAUGAUACUGUCUAGUUGUUUCUCUGUUCUGCGGAUCCCCUCAAUUGAUUUACCAAACAUCUCCAGAACGAUAAAAUGUGAUCAAAACAAAUCAAUUGUUAUGUAUGUCGUUAUUCUUAACUGAAUUUUGAUACUAAUUUCAAGUCAUUGACUUAUUCUGGCUGCUUUAAUUGAUGUGUGUGAAGUUUAUAAAUUACUUCACCUUGGUUUGCUGCAAAAUGUUACAGAAUGGCUGAACCUUUAAUUAGUGACCAUCAGCAAACUUGUCAUUUAAUGUCAGCCUCAGUUUGCACUUUUCCCACUUGGGACUGAAAUUAGGUACCAUUCUUCUGUCCUAGCUCUGGAUUAAGUAUGGACAAAGUCAUUGUGUAUGGAAGUAGAGCUAGUUCUGUUCAUAGCGUAGCCCAGACAAGAAUUUAAAAACCUGUAGCUUUGAAGCAGUGCAGCCUCCUUCACUGAGGGGACAUGAUAGACCUUUGCUCAGCAGGUGCUCGUUGUGACAUGAUCAAAAUCUGAUGCUGAUUGUGAGUAAGAUGCACACCUAUGUCUGCCACUCCAUAUUGGAAUUCAAUUCAAGGUGAAAAGUAGCACUGUAAUGGUAUGUUGGUUGUAAUUGCUUUAUAGCCAAGUACAUUUUGUUUAUAGAGACUUGUAUACCUUGAACUGUGAUGAGCACCUGAGAUAGCUCUUCUGAGAACAGUGAUAUCAAGUGGUGUAGCUGUUAUUUAUUUGGCUAUACAUAAGGUUUCUUUUUGAUUUGUAGGAACCAAUGAAGUACUUGACGUAAGAAUUUAAUAUUGAGGCAGAUAUUCGAUGUUCUGCCUUUUUAGGGCAAGUUAGCUGUACACCAUAGAAUCUUGGGCUCUAGUAUAAAAUUUAAAACAAUAUUCCCAUUGUUGGACGUUUGCUUCAGUAGCUCACAAAAUAGAUCAGGAGUAUUCUGGUUUGGAAUUUUUCACUCUGGCAUGUCACUUGUUCUUUUUUAAAAGAAAUUCCUUUUCAAACCUCCAGAUGCACAAAAUUCAAUAUCUAAACUAAGUGCCAGUAUACAUAGUUUACUUAGAAGGGCCAGAUAUCUAGGCUAUGAAGCAUCUGAUGAUCCACAAGCUGCAGUUUGGAAACCCCUGUUAAGGAGCUCAUCUGAUCUUGAUCUCUUAUAUAUUUGAAUCAGUUCCUCAAACAUGUCUAGAUUUUAUGUUUAUACCUUUUUUGACUGUAUAACAGGUGUAUAGGAGAAAUAGUUAAUCAGCUAGACACAAGAUUGUUGCAAAAACUAGACUUACAAGAAAAUAAUUUGCUUUUCUGUGUGGUUAAUUUUUCACACUGAGGUGUUGAAGUGUUUUAAAUAAAGUUGAUUUUUGUUUGGUG
Molecule: long non-coding RNA, 6996 nt
Organism: Stegostoma tigrinum
Lineage: Eukaryota; Metazoa; Chordata; Chondrichthyes; Orectolobiformes; Stegostomatidae
Exons: 2
Source: RefSeq, a predicted model, not a curated record